Molecule: non-coding RNA, 72 nt
Organism: Trichonephila clavipes
Lineage: Eukaryota; Metazoa; Arthropoda; Arachnida; Araneae; Nephilidae
Source: the annotation of a GenBank genome assembly
GCCGUGAUUGUACAGCGCUUAGCACAUUGUGUUGUGGCGGCAAUGAUCCAGGUUCAAAUCCUGGUCAUGGCA